This 442-nucleotide ribosomal RNA is filed under the name uncultured bacterium. RNAcentral describes it as "partial 16S ribosomal RNA". It matches the Rfam family "Bacterial small subunit ribosomal RNA", at positions 338 to 795 of the family's 1533-position model. The record is from RNAcentral.
CCUACGGGGGGCAGCAGUAGGGAAUCUUUCACAAUGGGCGAAAGCCUGAUGGAGCAACGCCGCGUGCAGGAUGAAGGCCUUCGGGUUGUAAACUGCUUUUAUAAGCGAGAAAUAUGAUGGUAACUUAUGAAUAAGGAUCGGCUAACUACGUGCCAGCAGCCGCGGUCAUACGUAGGAUCCGAGCAUUAUCCGGAGUGACUGGGUGUAAAGAGUUGCGUAGGUGGCAUAAUAAGUAGCUAGUGAAAUCUGGUGGCUCAACCAUUCAGACUAUUAGCUAAACUGUUAAGCUCGAGACCGUUAGGGGUAACUGGAAUGUCUAGUGUCGGAGUGAAAUCCGUAGAUAUUAGAAGGAACACCAAUAGCGUAGGCAGGUUGCUGGGACGGUUCUGACACUAAGGCACGAAAGCGUAGGGAGCAAACGGGAUUAGAUACCCUAGUAGUC